This 476-nucleotide ribosomal RNA is filed under the name uncultured bacterium. Its description in RNAcentral is "partial 16S ribosomal RNA". It matches the Rfam family "Bacterial small subunit ribosomal RNA", at positions 28 to 523 of the family's 1533-position model. The record is from RNAcentral.
GACGAACGCUGGCGGCGUGCCUAACACAUGCAAGUCGAGCGAUGAAACCCUUCGGGGUGGAUUAGCGGCGGACGGGUGAGUAACACGUGGGUAACCUGCCUCAAAGAGGGGGAUAGCCUCCCGAAAGGGAGAUUAAUACCGCAUAAUAUUAUUUCUUCGCAUGAAGAGAUAAUCAAAGGAGUAAUCCGCUUUGAGAUGGACCCGCGGCGCAUUAGCUAGUUGGUGAGGUAAUGGCUCACCAAGGCGACGAUGCGUAGCCGACCUGAGAGGGUGAUCGGCCACAUUGGAACUGAGAUACGGUCCAGACUCCUACGGGAGGCAGCAGUGGGGAAUAUUGCGCAAUGGGGGAAACCCUGACGCAGCAACGCCGCGUGGGUGAAGAAGGCCUUCGGGUUGUGAAGCUCUGUCUUCUGGGACGAUAAUGACGGUACCAGAGGAGGAAGCCACGGCUAACUACGUGCCAGCAGCCGCCGUAA